This 253-nucleotide ribosomal RNA is filed under the name uncultured bacterium. RNAcentral's name for it is "partial 16S ribosomal RNA". It matches the Rfam family "Bacterial small subunit ribosomal RNA", at positions 524 to 776 of the family's 1533-position model. The record is from RNAcentral.
UACGGGGGUGGCAAGCGUUGUUCGGAAUUACUGGGCGUAAAGGGCGCGUAGGCGGGGAGGUAAGUCGGGUGUGAAAUCCCUCGGCUCAACCGAGGAACUGCGCCCGAGACCGCCUUUCUUGAGUCCCGGAGAGGAAGGUGGAAUUCCCGGUGUAGCGGUGAAAUGUGUAGAGAUCGGGAGGAACACCGGUGGCGAAGGCGGCCUUCUGGACGGUGACUGACGCUGAGGCGCGAAAGCGUGGGGAGCAAACGGG